This 67-nucleotide transfer RNA is filed under the name Wallacidia oculata. RNAcentral's name for it is "tRNA-Met". Lineage: Eukaryota; Metazoa; Arthropoda; Insecta; Hymenoptera; Mutillidae. The record is from RNAcentral.
GUAUGGGUAAGCUAAAUAUAAAAAGCUUUUAGGUUCAUACCCUAAAUACAGGUAAUCCUCCCAUACA